CAGCAGCCGCGGUAAAACGUAGGUGGCAAGCGUUGUCCGGAAUUAUUGGGCGUAAAGGGCUCGCAGGCGGUUUCUUAAGUCUGAUGUGAAAGCCCCCGGCUCAACCGGGGAGGGUCAUUGGAAACUGGGAAACUUGAGUGCAGAAGAGGAGAGUGGAAUUCCACGUGUAGCGGUGAAAUGCGUAGAGAUGUGGAGAAACACCAGUGGCGAAGGCGACUCUCUGGUCUGUAACUGACGCUGAGGAGCGAAAGCGUGGGGAGCGAACAGGAUUAGAUACCCGCGUAGUCCCUGUCUCUUAUAC
RNAcentral lists this ribosomal RNA (301 nucleotides) under uncultured bacterium. Its description in RNAcentral is "partial 16S ribosomal RNA". It matches the Rfam family "Bacterial small subunit ribosomal RNA", at positions 509 to 807 of the family's 1533-position model. The record is from RNAcentral.